Molecule: ribosomal RNA, 1264 nt
Filed under: Sesame phyllody phytoplasma
Lineage: Bacteria; Bacillati; Mycoplasmatota; Mollicutes; Acholeplasmatales; Acholeplasmataceae
Description: bacterial SSU rRNA
Rfam family: Bacterial small subunit ribosomal RNA
Source: RNAcentral
ACACUUUUUCAACCUACCCUAAAGACGAGGAUAACCAUUGGAAACAGUGGCUAAGACUGGAUAGGAAGAAAUAAGGCAUCUUAUUUCUUUUAAAAGACCUAGUAAUAGGUAUACUUUAGGAGGGGCUUGCGCCAUAUUAGUUAGUUGGUAGGGUAAUGGCCUACCAAGACGAUGAUGUGUAGCUGGACUGAGAGGUUGAACAGCCACAUUGGGACUGAGACACGGCCCAAACUCCUACGGGAGGCAGCAGUAAGGAAUUUUCGGCAAUGGAGGAAACUCUGACCGAGCAACGCCGCGUGAACGACGAAGUACUUUGGUAUGUAAAGUUCUUUUAUCAAGGAAGAAAAGCAAGUGGCGAACCAUUUGUUUGCCGGUACUUGAUGAAUAAGCCCCGGCUAAUUAUGUGCCAGCAGCCGCGGUAAGACAUAAGGGGCAAGUGUUAUCCGGAAUUAUUGGGCGUAAAGGGUGCGUAGGCGGUCUAGUAAGUCAGUGGUGUAAUGGCAACGCUCAACGUUGUCCGGCUAUUGAAACUGCUAAACUUGAGUUAGAUAGAGGCGAGUGGAAUUCCAUGUGUAGCGGUAAAAUGCGUAAAUAUAUGGAGGAACACCAGAGGCGUAGGCGGCUCGCUGGGUCUUAACUGACGCUGAGGCACGAAAGCGUGGGGAGCAAACAGGAUUAGAUACCCUGGUAGUCCACGCCGUAAACGAUGAGUACUAAGUGUCGGGUUAAACCGGUACUGAAGUUAACACAUUAAGUACUCCGCCUGAGUAGUACGUACGCAAGUAUGAAACUUAAAGGAAUUGACGGGACUCCGCACAAGCGGUGGAUCAUGUUGUUUAAUUCGAAGAUACCCGAAAAACCUUACCAGGUCUUGACAUGUUUUUGCGAAACGGUAGUAAUAUCGUAGAGGUUAUCAGAAACACAGGUGGUGCAUGGUUGUCGUCAGCUCGUGUCGUGAGAUGUUAGGUUAAGUCCUAAAACGAGCGAAACCCUUAUCGUUAGUUGCCAGCACGUUAUGGUGGGGACUUUAACGAGACUGCCAGUGAUAAACUGGAGGAAGGUGAGGAUCACGUCAAAUCAGCAUGCCCCUUAUGACCUGGGCUACAAACGUGAUACAAUGGCUGUUACAAAGGGUAGCUGAAACGUAAGUUCUUGGCCAAUCCCCAAAAACAGUCUCAGUCCGGAUUGAAGUCUGCAACUCGACUUCAUGAAGUUGGAAUCGCUAGUAAUCGCGAAUCAGCAUGUCGCGGUGAAUACGUUCUCG